Molecule: transfer RNA, 73 nt
Filed under: Endomicrobium sp.
Lineage: Bacteria; Pseudomonadati; Elusimicrobiota; Endomicrobiia; Endomicrobiales; Endomicrobiaceae
Description: tRNA-Arg
Rfam family: tRNA
About the family: Transfer RNA (tRNA) molecules are approximately 80 nucleotides in length. Their secondary structure includes four short double-helical elements and three loops (D, anti-codon, and T loops). Further hydrogen bonds mediate the characteristic L-shaped molecular structure. tRNAs have two regions of fundamental functional importance: the anti-codon, which is responsible for specific mRNA codon recognition, and the 3' end, to which the tRNAs corresponding amino acid is attached (by aminoacyl-tRNA synthetases). tRNAs cope with the degeneracy of the genetic code in two manners: having more than one tRNA (with a specific anti-codon) for a particular amino acid; and 'wobble' base-pairing, i.e. permitting non-standard base-pairing at the 3rd anti-codon position.
Source: RNAcentral
GCGCCUAUAGCUCAAUUGGAUAGAGCACUGGUUUCCGGGGCCUGGGAUUCCGGUUCAAAUCCGGAUAGGCGCG